RNAcentral lists this ribosomal RNA (253 nucleotides) under uncultured bacterium. RNAcentral describes it as "partial 16S ribosomal RNA". It matches the Rfam family "Bacterial small subunit ribosomal RNA", at positions 524 to 776 of the family's 1533-position model. The record is from RNAcentral.
UACAGAGGUGGCAAGCGUUGUUCGGAAUUACUGGGCGUAAAGGGCGCGUAGGCGGCCUUGUAAGUCCUGUGUGAAAUCCCCCGGCUCAACUGGGGAACUGCACAGGAGACUGCUUGGCUUGAGUUCGGGAGAGGGAAGCGGAAUUCCGGGUGUAGCGGUGAAAUGCGUAGAUAUCCGGAGGAACACCGGUGGCGAAGGCGGCUCUCUGGACACUUACUGACGCUGAGACGCGAAAGCGUGGGGAGCAAACAGG